CCCUUAGAUGUUCUGGGCCGCACGCGCGCUACACUGACUGGUGCAACAAGUGUCUGACCUUGGCUCGAGAGGCCUGGGCAACCUUUGAACGCCAGUCGUGCUGGGGAUAGAUUCUUGCAAUUAUUAAUCUUCAACGAGGAAUUCCUAGUAAACGCAAGUCAUCAGCUUGCAUUGAUUACGUCCCUGCCCUUUGUACACACCGCCCGUCGCACCUACCGAUUGAAUGGUCCGGUGAAGCCUCCGGAUUGCGCGGCUUCGGCUGUCGCGAGAAGUUGGCUAAACCUUACCAUUUAGAGGAAGGUGAANUCGUAAC
This 313-nucleotide ribosomal RNA is filed under the name uncultured eukaryote. RNAcentral describes it as "partial 18S ribosomal RNA". It matches the Rfam family "Eukaryotic small subunit ribosomal RNA", at positions 1470 to 1795 of the family's 1831-position model. The record is from RNAcentral.